This 407-nucleotide ribosomal RNA is filed under the name uncultured bacterium. Its description in RNAcentral is "bacterial SSU rRNA". It matches the Rfam family "Bacterial small subunit ribosomal RNA", at positions 364 to 763 of the family's 1533-position model. The record is from RNAcentral.
UUGGACAAUGGGCGCAAGCCUGAUCCAGCCAUGCCGCGUGAGUGAAGAAGGCCUUCGGGUUGUAAAGCUCUUUCGGACGGGAAGAAAUGGCGGGCUCUAACAUAGCCUGUCGAUGACGGUACCGUAGGAAGAAGCACCGGCUAACUACGUGCCAGCAGCCGCGGUAAUACGUAGGGUGCGAGCGUUAAUCGGAAUUAUUGGGUUUAAAGGGUGCGUAGGCGGACUAAUAAGUCAGUGGUGAAAGCCUGCAGCUUAACUGCAGAGUGGUCAUUUAUACUGUUAGUCUUGAGUAGAUUUGAGGUGGGUGGAAUGUGUCAUGUAGCGGUGAAAUGCUUAGAUAUGACACAGAACACCGAUUGCGAAGGCAGCUUGCUAAUCUGUAACCGACGCUGAGGCACGAAAGCGUG